GCAUGCUUGUCUGUGGGCAUUACACUAGACCUGAGUUCACACAGACCCAAGUGUUCUAUGCUGUCACUAUGAAACUCUGGAACAUUCUCUACUGAGAUUGGGAAACACCCUUUCUCUCUGAUCUCUCACCCCUUAUAAAACUGCAUUACAGAAAAAAACGCAGUGCUUUGGACUGGUCCUGUGUCGAGUUGGGGUAAAACGAUUACUAAUUUGACAGAGCUGAAAAGCUGAGUCUCUGCAAGAUCAAGGCCACCCAUGAUGUAACUUCCUUCAACCUCUCGCUUCAGUUCUUGACCAGCAAACACAGUGGGCUUCUCUUCCUGGCUGCUGGGCUCAGCGACCACCUGCUGCUAGAGCUCAGGGAUGGACAUCUGCAGGCAGUGCAAACAUUUGGACAAAACAUCACGAUGUCCAUUAUGUGACCUAUGAGCAUCCUUGCACGACGGUGGUCUGUGAGAAAUGAAAGGCUUGCGAGAAUGACUAAGGCCAGGAACUUUAACUUUUAACGAAGGAGAGAUGACGCUGAUUUCCUUGUUAAACUAAUCUGAUGUGAAUGUUAUUCGAUAGGAAAUGCACCGGGGGAAAAUAUAAGUAGGAGAGAUCUCACCUUGAAGCUAUCCACAGCACUUCAGCAGAAACAUUGUGAUCAGAAAACUGCAAAGCUGCAGGCUGCAGCAGCUCAACCUGGAUUAUGUGCUGCGAGUGACACACAUGCGGGAGAAGUCAUGUUUCUUUCA
Long non-coding RNA from Polyodon spathula (Mississippi paddlefish), 737 nucleotides. RefSeq lists it as uncharacterized. Lineage: Eukaryota; Metazoa; Chordata; Actinopteri; Acipenseriformes; Polyodontidae. The record is from RefSeq and is a predicted model, not a curated record. The transcript is spliced from 5 exons.